GGGUCAGUAGGUUGGUCGUGCCACCGGUACGUACUGGUCUCACUGAUUCCUCCUUCCUGAAGAAUCGUAAUGCCAUUAAUUUGGUGUUGCGGGGAAACAGGACUGUUACUUUGAAAAAAUUAGAGUGUUUAAAGCAAGCUAACGCUUGAAUACAUUGGCAUGGAAUAAUGAAAUAGGACGAUCGAUCCUAUUUUGUUGGUUUCUAGGAUUGACGUA
This 216-nucleotide ribosomal RNA is filed under the name Glomeromycotina sp. RNAcentral's name for it is "partial small subunit ribosomal RNA". The stretch from base 40 to 216 matches the Rfam family "Eukaryotic small subunit ribosomal RNA", at positions 686 to 864 of the family's 1831-position model. The record is from RNAcentral. Lineage: Eukaryota; Fungi; Glomeromycota.